AAGUCGUAACAAGGUAUCCGUUGGUGAACCAGCGGAUGGAUCAUUACCUGAACAAUUUACGCCAAUUGUGGUGUGGCUGACUGUUUGUUUGUUUGUUAGCCUCUGGUGGGGUUGGUUAAUCAGCCUGCCAGGACUCAUAGUGUGCAAUGACGUGAGGUUGGUAUCCGAGGCCAACGAGAAGUCGCACGCUUGACGAGUGAAGGGAUUGCUGGAAAGGAUGGACCAUCAGUCGUCCAGGCGAGAUGCCUCCUCAAUCCCUGAGACUGCCAUUGACUUGACCGAAGCGAUUGUCUGUAAAGAUAAUAACUGCUGGCCGUGGAUCACUUGGCUGACG
This 334-nucleotide unclassified non-coding RNA is filed under the name fungal sp. RNAcentral describes it as "partial internal transcribed spacer region". The stretch from base 1 to 46 matches the Rfam family "Eukaryotic small subunit ribosomal RNA", at positions 1786 to 1831 of the family's 1831-position model. Lineage: Eukaryota; Fungi. The record is from RNAcentral.